GAAGGCUCGGCCGAAUGGUUAAGCUGUCCGCCUAGUAAGCGGAAGAUCAUGGGGUCGAUUCUCAUCUGCUUCA
This 73-nucleotide transfer RNA is filed under the name Culex quinquefasciatus (southern house mosquito). RNAcentral's name for it is "tRNA-Thr". Lineage: Eukaryota; Metazoa; Arthropoda; Insecta; Diptera; Culicidae. The record is from RNAcentral.